This 491-nucleotide ribosomal RNA is filed under the name uncultured bacterium. RNAcentral's name for it is "partial 16S ribosomal RNA". It matches the Rfam family "Bacterial small subunit ribosomal RNA", at positions 29 to 506 of the family's 1533-position model. The record is from RNAcentral.
AGUGAACGCUGGCGGUAGGCCUAACACAUGCAAGUCGAACGGCAGCACAGUAAGAGCUUGCUCUUACGGGUGGCGAGUGGCGGACGGGUGAGGAAUACAUCGGAAUCUACUUUUUCGUGGGGGAUAACGUAGGGAAACUUACGCUAAUACCGCAUACGUCCUACGGGUGAAAGCAGGGGAUCUUCGGACCUUGCGCGAUUGAAUGAGCCGAUGUCGGAUUAGCUAGUUGGCGGGGUAAAGGCCCACCAAGGCGACGAUCCGUAGCUGGUCUGAGAGGAUGAUCAGCCACACUGGAACUGAGACACGGUCCAGACUCCUACGGGAGGCAGCAGUGGGGAAUAUUGGACAAUGGGCGCAAGCCUGAUCCAGCCAUACCGCGUGGGUGAAGAAGGCCUUCGGGUUGUAAGGCCCUUUUGUUGGGAAAGAAAAGCAGCAGGUUAAUACCCCGCUGUUCUGACGGUACCCAAAGAAUAAGCACCGGCUAACUUCGU